RNAcentral lists this ribosomal RNA (464 nucleotides) under uncultured bacterium. RNAcentral describes it as "partial 16S ribosomal RNA". It matches the Rfam family "Bacterial small subunit ribosomal RNA", at positions 29 to 507 of the family's 1533-position model. The record is from RNAcentral.
ACGAACGCUGGCGGCGUGCUUAACACAUGCAAGUCGAACGGAAAGGCCCUGCUUGCAGGGUACUCGAGUGGCGAACGGGUGAGUAACACGUGGGUGAUCUGCCCUGCACUUCGGGAUAAGCCUGGGAAACUGGGUCUAAUACCGGAUAGGAGCCAUUUUUAGUGUGAUGGUUGGAAAGUUUUUUCGGUGUAGGAUGAGCUCGCGGCCUAUCAGCUUGUUGGUGGGGUAAUGGCCUACCAAGGCGGCGACGGGUAGCCGGCCUGAGAGGGUGGACGGCCACAUUGGGACUGAGAUACGGCCCAGACUCCUACGGGAGGCAGAAGUGGGGAAGAUUGCUCAAUGGGCGCAAGCCUGAUGCAGCGACGCCGCGGGGGGGAUGGCGGCCUUCGGGUUGUAAACGCCUUUCGCUAGGGACGAAGCUUUUUGUGACGGUACCUAGAGAAGAAGCACCGGCUAACUACGUG